CUUUCCUUUAAAUUCUGAAUGAUGUCUUGUAGACCAUCAUAUGACGCUAAUGGGAGUCUAUAUUGUUUGAUAAAUACAGGUGGUAAAUUAGGAUCAGUUUAUAUUCUGGCUACGUGGAGGUUAGUUAACCCACAGUCAUAGGAAUCUUUGGCAAAAAUAUCUUGGAAUUCCAAAAGGAUUUCCUUUAGCUGUUGCCGCUCAGCAUCGUUGGAGCAACCGUCAGCUAAAGAUAUUUGCUCUUCUAGCCUUUCCUGAAAUCCUGGAAAGAUUUCAGGCUGGCCUAUCUCAUAAGCUUCUUCAAGCCUAGAAGUUAGGUCAGUUUGGUUUUGACUUACCUUUUCUCUUUGGUCGAGAUACUCUUGUGAUUCCUGCUCAUUGAGCGGAUGAUCGA
This is a non-coding RNA of Pelobates cultripes (western spadefoot toad), 391 nucleotides long. NCBI's taxonomy places the organism in Eukaryota, Metazoa, Chordata, Amphibia, Anura, Pelobatidae. The record is from the annotation of a GenBank genome assembly.